GUAGGUGGCAAGCGUUAUCCGGAAUUAUUGGGCGUAAAGCGCGCGCAGGCGGUUUCUUAAGUCUGAUGUGAAAGCCCACGGCUCAACCGUGGAGGGUCAUUGGAAACUGGGGAACUUGAGUGCAGAAGAGAAAAGCGGAAUUCCACGUGUAGCGGUGAAAUGCGUAGAGAUGUGGAGGAACACCAGUGGCGAAGGCGGCUUUUUAGGUCUGUAACUGACGCUGAGGCGCGAAAGCGUGGGGAGCAAACAGGGAUUAGAUACCCUGGUAGUCCACGCCGUAAACGAUGAGUGCUAAGUGUUAGAGGGUUUCCGCCCCUUUAGUGCUGCAGCUAACGCAUUAAGCACUCCGCCUGGGAUACGGUCGCAAGACUG
This 372-nucleotide ribosomal RNA is filed under the name uncultured organism. Its description in RNAcentral is "partial 16S ribosomal RNA". It matches the Rfam family "Bacterial small subunit ribosomal RNA", at positions 527 to 896 of the family's 1533-position model. The record is from RNAcentral.